GAUGAACGCUGGCGGCGUGCCUAAUACAUGCAAGUCGAGCGAACCACUUCGGUGGUGAGCGGCGAACGGGUGAGUAACACGUAGGUGAUCUGCCCAUCAGACGGGGACAACGAUUGGAAACGAUCGCUAAUACCGGAUAGGACGAAAGUUUAAAGGUGCUUCUGGCACCGCUGAUGGAUGAGCCUGCGGCGCAUUAGCUAGUUGGUAGGGUAAAGGCCUACCAAGGCGACGAUGCGUAGCCGACCUGAGAGGGUGAACGGCCACACUGGGACUGCGACACGGCCCAGACUCCGACGGGAGGCAGCAGUAGGUAAUCUUCGGCGAUGGGCGAAAGCCUGACCGAGCAACGCCGCGUGAAUGAUGAAGGCCUUCGGGCUGUAAAAUUCUGUUAUAAGGGAAGAACGACUUUAGUAGGAAAUGGCUAGAGUGUGACGGUACCUUAUGAGAAAGCCACGGCUAACUACGUGCCAGCAGCCGCAGUAA
This 483-nucleotide ribosomal RNA is filed under the name uncultured bacterium. RNAcentral's name for it is "partial 16S ribosomal RNA". It matches the Rfam family "Bacterial small subunit ribosomal RNA", at positions 28 to 523 of the family's 1533-position model. The record is from RNAcentral.